This is a non-coding RNA of Triticum aestivum (bread wheat), 135 nucleotides long. Lineage: Eukaryota; Viridiplantae; Streptophyta; Magnoliopsida; Poales; Poaceae. The record is from Rfam.
AAAUUACCCCCUCCGUUCUAAAUUAUUUAUCUUGGAUUUGUCUAGAUACAGAUAUAUCUAGACUCAUUUUAGUACUAGAUACAUCCGUAUCUAGACAAAUCUAAGACAAGUAAUUCGGAACGAAGGGAGUAGAAG